AUUGAACGCUGGCGGCAUGCUUUACACAUGCAAGUCGAACGGCAGCACGGGUGCUUGCACCUGGUGGCGAGUGGCGGACGGGUGAGUAAUACAUCGGAACGUGUCCAGAAGAGGGGGAUAACGCAUCGAAAGAUGUGCUAAUACCGCAUAUACUCUAAGGAGGAAGCAGGGGAUCGAAAGACCUUGCGCUUUGGGAGCGGCCGAUGUCUGAUUAGCUAGUUGGUGGGGUAAAGGCCUACCAAGGCGACGAUCAGUAGUUGGUCUGAGAGGACGACCAGCCACACUGGGACUGAGACACGGCCCAGACUCCUACGGGAGGCAGCAGUGGGGAAUUUUGGACAAUGGGCGCAAGCCUGAUCCAGCAAUGCCGCGUGAGUGAAGAAGGCCCUGGUUGUAAAGACUCUUUCAGUCGAGAAGAAAAAGACUGCAGUGAAUAACUAGUAGUUCAUGACGGUAUCGACAGAAGAAGCACCGG
RNAcentral lists this ribosomal RNA (475 nucleotides) under uncultured bacterium. RNAcentral's name for it is "bacterial SSU rRNA". It matches the Rfam family "Bacterial small subunit ribosomal RNA", at positions 30 to 496 of the family's 1533-position model. The record is from RNAcentral.